GACGAACGCUGGCGGCGUGCUUAACACAUGCAAGUCGAACGGAAAGGCCCUGCUUUUGUGGGGUGCUCGAGUGGCGAACGGGUGAGUAACACGUGAGUAACCUGCCCUUGACUUUGGGAUAACUUCAGGAAACUGGGGCUAAUACCGGAUAGGAGCUCCUGCUGCAUGGUGGGGGUUGGAAAGUUUCGGCGGUUGGGGAUGGACUCGCGGCUAUCAGCUUGUUGGUGGGGUAGUGGCUUACCAAGGCUUUGACGGGUAGCCGGCCUGAGAGGGUGACCGGCCACAUUGGGACUGAGAGACGGCCCAGACUCCUACGGGAGGCAGCAGUGGGGAAUAUUGCACAAUGGGCGGAAGCCUGAUGCAGCAACGCCGCGUUCGGGAUGACGGCCUUCGGGUUGUAAACCGCUUUCGCCUGUGACGAAGCGUGAGUGACGGUAAUGGGUAAAGAAGCACCGGCUAACUACGUG
RNAcentral lists this ribosomal RNA (467 nucleotides) under uncultured bacterium. RNAcentral describes it as "partial 16S ribosomal RNA". It matches the Rfam family "Bacterial small subunit ribosomal RNA", at positions 28 to 507 of the family's 1533-position model. The record is from RNAcentral.